UACGUAGGCAGCGAGCGUUGUUCGGAAUUACUGGGCGUAAAGAGUGUGUAGGCGGUGCUCUAAGUUCGGUGUGAAAUCUCCUGGCUUAACUGGGAGGGUGCGCCGGAAACUGGAAUGCUCGAGCGUGGGAGAGGAAAGCGGAAUUCCUGGUGUAGCGGUGAAAUGCGUAGAUAUCAGGAGGAACACCUGUGGUGUAGACGGCUUUCUGGACCAUUGCUGACGCUGAGACACGAAAGCGUGGGUAGCAAACAGG
This 253-nucleotide ribosomal RNA is filed under the name uncultured Bryobacter sp. RNAcentral describes it as "partial 16S ribosomal RNA". It matches the Rfam family "Bacterial small subunit ribosomal RNA", at positions 524 to 776 of the family's 1533-position model. The record is from RNAcentral. Lineage: Bacteria; Pseudomonadati; Acidobacteriota; Terriglobia; Bryobacterales; Bryobacteraceae.